This 406-nucleotide ribosomal RNA is filed under the name uncultured bacterium. RNAcentral describes it as "partial 16S ribosomal RNA". It matches the Rfam family "Bacterial small subunit ribosomal RNA", at positions 30 to 526 of the family's 1533-position model. The record is from RNAcentral.
AUUGAACGCUGGCGGCAGGCCUAACACAUGCAAGUCGAACGAGUGGCGGACGGGUGAGUAAUGUCUGGGAAACUGCCUGAUGGAGGGGGAUAACUACUGGAAACGGUAGAUAAUACCGCAUACCAUCGGAUGUGCCCAGAUUGGAUGAGCUAGUAGGUGGGGUAACGGCUCACCUAGGCGACGAUCCCUCGCUGGUCUGAGAGGAUGACCAGCAACACGUGAACUUAGACACGGGCCAGACUCCUACGGUGUGCAGCAGUGGGGAAUAUUGCACAAUGGGCGCAAGCCUGAUGCAGCCAUGCCGCGUGUGUGAAGAAGGCCUUCGGGUUGUAAAGCACUUUCAGCGGGGAGGCGUUACCCGCAGAAGAAGCACCGGCUAACUCCGUGCCAGCCGCCGCGGUAAUAC